This 27-nucleotide small RNA is filed under the name Bombyx mori (domestic silkworm). RNAcentral's name for it is "ovarian small RNA-29784". The record is from RNAcentral. Lineage: Eukaryota; Metazoa; Arthropoda; Insecta; Lepidoptera; Bombycidae.
UCUCGUAUAUCUUGUUGCAGCGGUGGG